This 1248-nucleotide ribosomal RNA is filed under the name uncultured rumen bacterium. RNAcentral's name for it is "partial 16S ribosomal RNA". It matches the Rfam family "Bacterial small subunit ribosomal RNA", at positions 52 to 1337 of the family's 1533-position model. The record is from RNAcentral.
CACAUGCAAGUCGAGGGGCAGCAUUGGGAUAGCUUGCUAUUCCAGAUGGCGACCGGCGCACGGGUGAGUAACGCGUAUCCAACCUUCCCCUUAGUAGAGGAUAGCCCGGCGAAAGUCGGAUUAAUACUCUAUGUUGUGUUUUGAGGACAUCUGACGAACACCAAAGGUUCACCGCUAAGGGAUGGGGAUGCGUCUGAUUAGCUUGUUGGCGGGGUAACGGCCCACCAAGGCUACGAUCAGUAGGGGUUCUGAGAGGAAGGUCCCCCACAUUGGUACUGAGACACGGACCAAACUCCUACGGGAGGCAGCAGUGAGGAAUAUUGGUCAAUGGGCGAGAGCCUGAACCAGCCAAGUAGCGUGCAGGACGACUGCCCUAUGGGUUGUAAACUGCUUUUAUAGGGGAAUAAAGUGAGGUACGUGUACCUUUUUGUAUGUACCCUAUGAAUAAGGACCGGCUAAUUCCGUGCCAGCAGCCGCGGUAAUACGGAAGGUCCGGGCGUUAUCCGGAUUUAUUGGGUUUAAAGGGAGCGCAGGCUGGAUUUUAAGCGUGCUGUGAAAUGUACCGGCUCAACCGGUGACGUGCAGCGCGAACUGGAGUCCUUGAGUGAGUACGAGGUAUGCGGAAUUCGUGGUGUAGCGGUGAAAUGCUUAGAUAUCACGAAGAACUCCGAUUGCGAAGGCAGCAUACCAGUCCUUAACUGACGCUAAAGCUCGAAAGUGCGGGUAUCGAACAGGAUUAGAUACCCUGGUAGUCCGCACGGUAAACGAUGGAUGCCCGCUGUUGGCGAUAUAUUGUCAGCGGCCAAGCGAAAGCGUUAAGCAUCCCACCUGGGGAGUACGCCGGCAACGGUGAAACUCAAAGGAAUUGACGGGGGCCCGCACAAGCGGAGGAACAUGUGGUUUAAUUCGAUGAUACGCGAGGAACCUUACCCGGGCUUGAACUGCAGAGGAAGGAUCUAGAGAUAGUGACGCCCUUCGGGGCCUCUGUGGAGUGCUGCAUGGUUGUCGUCAGCUCGUGCCGUGAGGUGUCGGCUUAGUGCCAUAACGAGCGCACCCCUUUCUCAGUGCAUCAGUUUAGCUGGGCACUCUGAGAAACUGCACGUAGUGUGAGAGGUGGGAUGACGUCAUCAGCACGCCUACGUCGGGCCUACCACGUGUACAUGGUGAACAGAGAGUGGGUCGCACGUGCUUAUCUUUAGUCUAUCCCAGUUCGGAUUGGCUCGAACCGACCAGGAACUGGAUUCGCAU